UAAUACGUAGGGGGCGAGCGUUGUCCGGAUUCAUUGGGCGUAAAGAGCUCGUAGGCGGUUUCGUAAGUCGGGUGUGAAAACCCCAGGCUCAACCUGGGGACGCCACCUGAUACUGCGAUGACUUGAGUCUGGUAGGGGACCACGGAAUUCCUGGUGUAGCGGUGAAAUGCGCAGAUAUCAGGAGGAACACCGGUGGCGAAGGCGGUGGUCUGGGCCAGUACUGACGCUGAGGAGCGAAAGCGUGGGUAGCAAACAGG
This 257-nucleotide ribosomal RNA is filed under the name uncultured bacterium. RNAcentral's name for it is "partial 16S ribosomal RNA". It matches the Rfam family "Bacterial small subunit ribosomal RNA", at positions 521 to 776 of the family's 1533-position model. The record is from RNAcentral.